RNAcentral lists this ribosomal RNA (497 nucleotides) under Lasius sakagamii. RNAcentral's name for it is "partial 16S ribosomal RNA". The record is from RNAcentral. Lineage: Eukaryota; Metazoa; Arthropoda; Insecta; Hymenoptera; Formicidae.
GGUUUUUUGAAUUAUAAUUUAAGAUUAGUUCUGCUCAAUGAUUUGAAAUUAAAUAGCCGCAGUAUUUUGACUGUGCUAAGGUAGCAUAAUCAAUUGUUUUUUAAUUAAGAACUGGAAUGAAGGAAUUGAUGAGAUUAAGACUGUCUAAUAUAAAAUGUUAAAAUUUAAAUUUUAAGUAAUAAUUCUUAAAUAAGGUUAUGGGACGAGAAGACCCUAUAGAAUUUGAUAUAAUUUUUUAAAAUAAGUAUAAAUAAGGAUUUAAUAAAAUUAAUAUUUUAUUGGGAGGAUAAUUAAAUUAAAUUAACUUUAAAAUAAUAAUUAAACAUUAAUUUAUGAUAAUAGUUGAAUAAUUUUAUUAUAAUAAUUAAAAUUAAUUAAAAAUUAAUUACCUUAGGGAUAACAGCGUAAUAUUUUUAAAAAGAUCAUAUUGAUAAAAGUGUUUGCGACCUCGAAAGUUGAAUUAAAAUAAAAAUUAAAUGAAGAAGUUUAAUAUUUUA